AUUAACCCAUGCAGGUUUAAGUGCACACGGCGUGACAGUGAAACUGCGAAUGGCUCAUUAAAUCAGUUAUGGUUCCUUUGAUCGCUCCCACCCGUACUUGGAUAACUGUGGCAAUUCCAGAGCUAAUACAUGCAAACGAGCGCUGACUGGCUCCCCUCACGGGGGGCUGCGGAUGCGUGCAUUUAUCAGAUCCAAAAACCCAUCCGGGGGCUUCGGUCCCCGGUCCGCUUUGGUGACUCUAGAUAACCUCGGGCCGAUCGCGCGCCCUCGGCGGCGGCGACGUGUCUUUCGAAUGUCUGCCCUAUCAACUUUCGAUGGUACUUUCGGCGCCUACCAUGGUGACCACGGGUAACGGGGAAUCAGGGUUCGAUUCCGGAGAGGGAGCCUGAGAAACGGCUACCACAUCCAAGGAAGGCAGCAGGCGCGCAAAUUACCCAUUACCGACACGGUGAGGUA
RNAcentral lists this ribosomal RNA (456 nucleotides) under Clupeidae sp. d015a_TallinnMarket. Its description in RNAcentral is "SSU rRNA". It matches the Rfam family "Eukaryotic small subunit ribosomal RNA", at positions 43 to 466 of the family's 1831-position model. Lineage: Eukaryota; Metazoa; Chordata; Actinopteri; Clupeiformes; Clupeidae. The record is from RNAcentral.